This 420-nucleotide ribosomal RNA is filed under the name Triticum aestivum (bread wheat). Its description in RNAcentral is "partial small subunit ribosomal RNA". The record is from RNAcentral. Lineage: Eukaryota; Viridiplantae; Streptophyta; Magnoliopsida; Poales; Poaceae.
AUGUGGGGGGACCUCGGCGGCAGCGGCAGACGCGGCAUGCUGCAGGUCAAUACCUCCAGUGCAUGCACGAGAUGUAUCACACAAGGGAUUUUGGAAUGGAAUGAGUACCUGAACGGCAGCGUUGACAGAGGUGAACUUUGGGAUGAUGAUCGGCGAGGCGUUGGCAGAGGAGUUCAUAAAGGGAGAGUUGAGCAGGUCUCGUCACAAAGAACAAGGAAGUUCAGAGAAAAUCUUAGCAGCCGUUCUCCUCUGUUUUCAGUAGCAGAAAUGCAGAAAUUGAACACACGUGCUCGUGUGGAUGUUCUCCGGGGGCUCGAUCAGGUACCGGGUGUGGUCGAGCGCAGGGUUGCGGGUCGGUGGAUCACCGGAUGUUGCACCGGGAUGCUAGGCGGCGGGAUGCGUCGCGCCGGUGCGUGCUGA